This is a long non-coding RNA of Ahaetulla prasina, 2573 nucleotides long. RefSeq lists it as uncharacterized. The record is from RefSeq and is a predicted model, not a curated record. Lineage: Eukaryota; Metazoa; Chordata; Lepidosauria; Squamata; Colubridae. The transcript is spliced from 3 exons.
CUCUCGGGCUCUCCCCCAAGACGCCGUGGGUGAGGCGAGGGGCUCACCCGGAGGCUGCUGGGAAAGCGGAAGCGGUGGAGUUGCAUUAGUACUUUGAGCUCGUUUGGCCCUGGUCUUCGGUGGUUUCUGACAAUUCUCAUUACAGAAACCUACUCUGUAUAUAACAGCAAUCAGCCAUAUUUUUCUCCUUUAUUGAUAUUUUCUCUAGUCCUUCUACCAAACUAGUUUUUCUAGAACUGACUUCCAUGGCAACUGAUUCAACAGAAAAUAAAGUCAAUACAAAUUCAUUUCAAGGUUCCUAAUCAAGAAAGAAUCCACACUGCCAAAGCUAGGCAGGACUCGUACAAAAUAAGGUAUUCCUGGCAACCGUGAGGUAUUUACUGCUGUUAACAAAGACUGGCAUAUCAAUGGGAUUGAAUCUCAAACACAGUCAACUACUGAAAAAAGAAGAACAGAAGCCAUUCACUUUUUGUCUAUUGGCAGUUGGUUGGAAUAAUACAAUCAAUUUUUGUUUGGAAAUGUGCCAAGUCAUUGCUGUUGCAAAGCUUGUUUUAAAUAAGCAAACAAAAUAUUGCUAAGGAAUUGCAACAUAAAAGUUACCACUAUUGGUGUAAAUGCUGUGAUGCAGCCAUCAGGUAAUCAAAAGCUUGUAAUAUCAGUUUGUAAUAUUCCCCAGUCUCUGUAUAAAUAUGUUGACUUUAUGCAAUUUCAGUGCUUUCAAUAUUGCUGUUACUGCAAAAUUCCUGAGUGUCAAAAGUGAUCCAAGUGAAUGAGAUUCAUUUUAAAUAUAUUUUCUGUGAAAUUCAUUCGGACUUAGGAAAAGCUUAGAAGGUGCUAUGAAAAGACCUUCUUUUAUCUUUUUUCUCCCCCAUCAGAUAUGGUGAGUUAGAUCCAAGCCAUAUAUUAUUCUUCUCCAGAAAAUCUGCUUUCAUUGUGUCUGACCAUUUGCUAAGAUAGUAGUGCUGCUCUUGAAACAGUUACUGAAACUAUCAAAGUACCUAAUGAAUUAGAAUAGUAGGUUUCUGACAACCUACAUUUGCAUAUUUUCACUUAAUUUUGAAUGUAUGUAAAUUGGCAACCGCUCUUUCCCACAGUUAACAACCCAUCAAAAUUAGAAAUUAUAUGGAGGUGCAAAGCUGUAAGCCAAAAUUAUUUCUUUGAACAAUUUGAUCCCAAUUUCACCUGACGAAUUCUGAUACUGCCUACUGCAAUAUGAAUAUCAAUAUUGCACUCUUGACCUUUGAUACGUACCAUAGAUUGCAGAUUGUACCAUUUCAAAGAUCCAUUACCAUUUAUUAAAAUCUAUAGGUAUAAUUCAGAUCAAUGGAGCAAGUGUGCUUCUGUGGCCAGUGCAUGGCUGUCUUUGGUCAAUAUUAUUACUUUAGUGAAUUUACACAAAAUAAUUACACAAGUUUAGAAUCCUCCCCCUUCUUUUAUAGAAACCUCAUCUAAAUUUGCUAUACACAUACAAAACCAGCAAUGGGUAAGAUGCUGAUUAGAAGCAGAAUUCUCGUUCAGAUCUCAGUCCUUGAAUUUUGAAGCUAGUGUUUCAGUGCUUUUCUUUGUUACUUGGGGCUGGUGGAGAUUGGUCCACUGAAUUUAAAAAGGGGCAGGAAAAUAAUCUUAUGUCUAAAUAUUGCCAUAGUGAUUCCAUAUUGUUCCAUGACAAACAGUAACAGGAAUACACUUAUUUAUUUAUUAUUUAUUCAUUUUAUAUUUUGCCUUUAUUAUUUUUUAAGUAACUCGAGGCAGUGAACAUGCCUAAUGUUUCUUCCGCCUCCUAUUUUCUUCACAACAAGUUGGGCUGAGAGAGAGUGACUGCUUUAACAACAUCCAGCUGGCUUUCCUCCUCAUCAGUGCAAUCAUAACUGCCUAGCCAGUUAUAAAAGCCAACAAUACCUCAAAAGCUACAGAUUACCCAUCCCUGUUUUUUUGCUAAAAAUAAAUUUGCAUUGUUUUAAUAGUCUUCAAAUAAUGUGUCUCAUAAAUGUAUUGUAGAUACUUAAAACAGACUUGAGAUUAUUGAAUGCUAAUAUGCUAAUAUGCAUUUUAUAGUCAUUUUAUUUCCACAUUAACUCUAAGGAUAUUUGGGGAAGCUCAACAUUUUUAAAUGCUUGAAUUAAAACAAAACUGCAGUUGAAUUAUUACUUUCCACAAUUAACAUGUAUCAUUCUGUGUGGAAAAAAAUAUAUUCUAAAUAGCUUGUGUGUUGUUCUUUUAUUGAUAGUGAACUGGGAAACAGUCUCUUCAAAGUUCAUAAAACUUCCGAAGCUUCUUAAAUCUCACUGGCAUAAAUUAUAAGCUAUGUAAAAUACAAAAAUAACAUAGAAUAAGGAAGAUACCUAGGAAGAUUCAUAUCACCGUCAGUGUCUUUUCUCACUUUUACCAUCGGGCAGAAGACACAGAAGAAUAGCCAGCUGGACAAACAGGUUUAAAAACAGCUUUUAUCCAUGGGCUAUCAGACUCCUAAAUACAAUUACAAUCACUCCAUGCAUACAUGGAAACAUAUGACUGGUUUCUCCCUAAUUAUUUAUAUAAAGACCAUUUUCUGUAUUAUUCGUAUUGUUUUGUAU